UAAUUUACUAAAAUUAAAAAUUCCAAAAACUAAAGAGACUCCUCUCUGUUUUUCCAAAACAAACUCAUCGAUCUGCCCUAGUCUCAAAACACAAUAGCGCGCAGCUCCUCUGCCUCUAUCAAUCUCUCAAAAAAUUUGUUUUCUCAAAGCAAAGGUUACGAAUUUGUUGAUUUGUGAAUCGAAGUCCUGCCCUAGUUUUCAAACACCGUUUGCGAAUCCAGGUAUGCCUCCUCUUCUGAGUUGCUCCUUUUCUUUUUUUUUUCAACCUAGCUCUUCUGAGUCACUCGUUUGGAAUUCCCUUUACUGCUUUGAUAUAUUUGACUUCUUCUUCUUCUUCUUCUCUAACAUUAAAUUGGUAAAAGGUUUCAUAAUUUUGUUCUAAGUUUUUACUGCAUAUGUUGAAGUAUUCAAGAAUGAGAUCCAUAAAUUUGCAAACUUUUGAGCAAAUACACUUACUAAGUAGUGGUGUGUAUUCGAUGAUAGUGGAAGAGCGAUGUUGAAAUAUAUAUGAGCUUAUUAGCUCUCUGCUUUCGUAGUUCCAAUUCUUACCUUCCAGCUAUUUCUUGAUAUGUGCUUGUGAUAAUGAAAUCUGUUGAAUUCAUUGCUACCGAAUCAGCUGUGAAUUGGCAAGAGAAGUGGUAUUUUGUAUCGAGUUCUUUCAAUUUGAUGUCAGAGUUUCAUAUUUUGUCUUUUUCAUAACAUGAGCAAUAGUUCAGAGAAAUUCACGAUCUCACACCAAUUACUAACAAACAGUAUUUUUAGUCGCAACCGAUAUUUUUUAUGAUCUUGUGUCGCAAAUUAUAUUAUUUGCAUUUUGUGUUUAAGUACUUACUUCGAUCUCGGGGAAGGCCAGAAGGAACCAUGUAUACAUGUUUCAGGAACUACCAUCUUAAUUACAAGUUGAUUUAUAAUCUUUUAUUUAUCUUAGUGCCAUUUGAUUGCACAUUACAAAACAUUAACUGGAAAAAAGAGCCUAAUCACCUAUUGCGACCUUAGAGUUCAACACAAUUGUGUGCAUCUAAUCGUUAUAAGUUGUAUUCAUCUUAGUAUUUUCCUUGUCAUUUAUCUUUUUUUAAUCUAAUUUUUAUCUACUCUCGAAGGUUAUGGCACCUAGUAAGCAAUGGAUGUAACUUGUUGACAAUCGGCUUGAUGAAGCCUACUUAAUCGUGUAAUGAUAUUAAACAAUAUAUGUCCUUUGGGAGUAUCAUCGUGGAAUGAUAUUAAGCAAGAAAAGUUGAAUCACAUGUGGGCAGCUAUUGAGGUAACAAAUGUAGUUAAGAGUAUGCCUGUGCAUUUUAAGCGUGAUGAAAUUGGAAAGUAUAUUACUGUGAAAUGUGGCUAUGUUGUGAUAAAUGUCAAAUUGUUAAUUUAGUUGAUUAGUUAUGUUUGUUGAAGGUAUUUUGUUAUAUCAGUCAAUUAUAUGUGUGAGUCUAACUGCACUUUUACACAUGAAAUUACUACUGCAUAUGCCAUUGUUCUGAACCGGAGUAAAAUGAGCCUCAGGAUAUGAUUUGUCUACUGCAUAUGCCAUUGUUCCCUUCUUGCUGCUAGAAUUGUUUGGUCAAUUUGUAGUUUAUCAUCUGGCGGAACAUAUGCUUACAAGUUUCGUGGGGCCACUUAUUAUUUGUGGGGAGCAUCUCCAAUAGACCUCCAAAUUCAGUGGCUAGAACAACUUAAAUGUGGGUCAAAGCCAUUUAACAUUUACUUCCUUCUAGUUGCAAUGUCCUGCAUUCUGUCCUAUAAGCAAGCAAUUUUUGGUAGAUGGACGGAAAAUUAAAUAAACCAAACAAUUAGUUACUAUUCACCCAAUAGAAGAUAUUGUAUUCUCUGAUAUGAUGAACAUUAUGUUACUAAAUGUUAUAUAUUCGAAGUAAUAUUAAGUUGAAGAGACUUGCCUUUUCCAAUACUGUGGAAGUAGAGAAGUUUUUUUCCUAAAUGGUUUUAUAUCAACCAUGAGAUGAUUGUAUUUGGAAAUUAAGAAAAACAACUUUGCAGUAGUGACAACCUUAAAUUUUAGUGCUAAAUUAACCUUAUUUGAUAUUCUGAUUUUUUUUUCCAGAUUUCCGAGUAGAAAAAGAAAUUAGAUGCCAUAAUCUCAUUCUAAAGUCGAUGUUUUAUUAUUUCUUCGUGGUGACUAUGUAAGCAUUGCUAGGACAACUUAAGGAAAAAUAUCAAGUUCUUUUUUAGUUUCAAAUAUUUCUAGGAGGCAGAGAAAAUUAUCAAAUUCUCUAUAAUAAUAAUAAUAAAAAAAAGUUAUCAAAUUCUUUAGAUAUCCUAUAAAUUUACUAAGUAGCUGGUGAAACUCUAAGAAAAAGUUCCUCAAGUGUAAUAUGUAUAUGUUAUCUCCAGAAACUGAUGAAGUACUAAAACUUUUUCUAAUUCUUUUGGAUCCUUUUUCUUGUCCUUUAUUUGGGGACUUUCUUGAGUUUUAUUUUAUCAAUUAGGGAUAGGUUAGGACAUGGUGCAGAAAAUGAUUGAUAAACUGUUGUAUCAUGUGGCGGAAUUUUAAGGAAUUGGAAUAUAAGAACUACUCAGAUCACUUUUACUAUGUCUUCUUUCUUGCUAUGGUAAUGAAUGUCAUUGAACAUCUAUUGGAAGUGUACAAACUUUCUUUUAUUUAUCUGUUUAGGUACAUCUAUCUUUUACUGCAACUAAGUAUCAUAAACUUAAAGCAGUAAUGUUAAAAUAUCCUCAAGAAGUGGGCAUGCCUGCAUCAAUGUUUUUAUUUUUUGUAGCAAUGGUCUCGGGACCAGCUUGUGCACUUGCACACAACACUGCUAUUCUAGCGAGCAUCAUUCUCGCCAUCUUCCUGUUCAAUGACCAAGGCAUCCAAAGAAUUAGUACACCUAAUAUUUGUUGCUGAAAAUUCCUGUUUUUUAUGAUCUGUAGCAGCUCUUUUGCUAGGUGAUACAACUGACCAAACCUUAGCCACAUUCUUUAAUCCACCAGCAUUCCCAGUAGCUUCACAAUUACUCCUGGAUAUUUGUAGUACUUCACGAUCAUCUCCCUUGUCAUGAAAUCCAGUAUCACCUUUAAUAUUUGCACCUUUAGUAGCACAAUCAGUAGCACCAAACCUAGAAGCAACACGAUCCGCAUGUGCAUUCAAACGAGUUGCUUGAAUACCAGCAGUAGCCUGAUUCUCAAACAAAUUUGUAGGCAGCUUAGCAUCCUUGAUCCCUGCCUUAUCACUUGUAGCAACUGUAACAUUCACUCCUGUUCCAUUCACAGCACUAGCAGUCUCCAAACUUGCAUUCACAACCUGUGAAACACCAUCCAUAGGCUGCACAAUCUUGUUUGAAGUAGCAGCUCGAUCAGUAGCAACAUUCAAAGAACCAGUAGUAGCUGUAUAAUAGAUCCUUUGCAUCUCCUUGUAAAUUUUCCACCUUGUUCAUGUCAGCAGUAGGUAAUAAUAGAUCAUUAUCACCAUUCCUUCCGACCAAACAUUCAUGUUGAUCUUUGCUUUGUCCAUAAUAGAUCAUUAUCACUAUCUCAGCAGUAGUGUUCUGAUCUUUCUCCUUAUAUUUGUAAUUGUUCUUAGAUUUAAUUAGUCAACAUGUUAUCAUUGAUUUAUGUAAAUGGAGUUCGACUCUCUUAGUUCCUGACAAGUAUAAAUUUACUCCCACAGCUUGUGUUUCAAGUAUACAUUCUAAGGCUUGUUCCUUGAGUGGAGUGGUGACUAUGACUCUGAAUCUGACAGAUAUGUUGGAUAAUUUGUGAAUGAUAAGAGAGAAAAAAAGGACUAUGUAUAGACACUGGUCAAUCUGACCGAAGUUUGAUUUUAUCGUUCCAAAUUUUUUCUAAUUAAUUUUCUAUAUUCCUGUAGCCUUGUUGAUAUUGCUGGAAAACACAUGAUGAAUUUUGACUCCUUUUGGGGUAAGCGGCUUAACUAUUACUAUUGUAAAUUAACAUAUACAUUGUUUUACCAAUAGUUAUUCAUCGUCUUUUCAAAAUUUUAUAUUUACAGGUUUUGAAGAUUGAAGCUACAAGUCAAGAUGCAAGUUUGGAAGAUACACAAACUCAUUAUUAUUUUGCUAAGAAUGUUUUGUAAAACUUGAUAUCAUAGUCUGGCUCAGGAUGUUAGUUAAGUUUUUUGUUAAGGUGUCGAGCAAAUAUUAAAACUAAUAUCACGGGAU
This 4133-nucleotide long non-coding RNA is filed under the name Nicotiana tabacum (common tobacco). Its description in RNAcentral is "long non-coding RNA (NTAB_LNC011713)". The record is from RNAcentral. Lineage: Eukaryota; Viridiplantae; Streptophyta; Magnoliopsida; Solanales; Solanaceae.